CGCUAAGAAGCUAAACAGGAAGUAGCGCUAGCCUUUUAAGCUAGAGAUUGGUGACUACCAACCACCCUAGCGA
This 73-nucleotide transfer RNA is filed under the name Aethaloperca rogaa. Its description in RNAcentral is "tRNA-Lys". It matches the Rfam family "tRNA". Rfam says of the family: Transfer RNA (tRNA) molecules are approximately 80 nucleotides in length. Their secondary structure includes four short double-helical elements and three loops (D, anti-codon, and T loops). Lineage: Eukaryota; Metazoa; Chordata; Actinopteri; Perciformes; Serranidae. The record is from RNAcentral.